Molecule: long non-coding RNA, 1215 nt
Filed under: Coturnix japonica (Japanese quail)
Lineage: Eukaryota; Metazoa; Chordata; Aves; Galliformes; Phasianidae
Description: lncRNA (ENSCJPG00005002004.1)
Source: RNAcentral
AUGUCCCCGUUACUGACCGCGGUCGCUGUCUCCCAUCCCCGUGUCCCCGGGGGGGGUCCCGGCCUCGGCCCCCCCCACCCUCAGGGCCCCACCGCCUCCAACGCCCCACAAUGCACCGCGACGCCCCCCCCAACACCGGAAAUAACCCCCCUAAAUAGGAAGCGGAAGUACCCGCAGUCAAGAUGGCGGAGGGGACUUCAAAGCUUAUUUCCGCUUCCGGUGUUGGAUCCGGAAAUGCCCGGCGUCAAGAUGGCGGCGGGGGCCUACAAAGCUUAUUUCCGCUUCCGGUAUUGCGGCCUCCCAAUAGGAACCGGAAAUGCCCGUCUUCAAGAUGGCGGCGAGGCCUUCAAACCUUAUUUCCGGUGUUUUGGGGGGGGGGGCAAAUCUCGCGAGAGACCGGAAGGGGCGUGGCCUCGGUGCCACGUCGGGGUUGGAGCCGAGGAGCGAUCUCCCCCCACAGCUUCAAUGGCGACGGUCCUCCAGCCCCGGGAACCAGCGGCCUCCAACAUGGCCGCCAUCAUGGCCGCCACUCUGGCUCUCUGCCUCCUCCCUUCCGCCUCUCACGGGGACCGCCAUCACCAGGAGGACUUCCGCCAUCACCGGGAGGACUUCCGCCAUCACCGGGAGGACUUCGGCCAUCACCGGGAGGACCUCGGCCAUCACCGGGAGGACCUCGGCCAUGGUCAGCACCAGCUCCAUGUGGACAGCGGCCACGGCCACACCUUGACGGCCAUGUUUAGUCGUGGGCACCAACACGAAGACCCCCAGCAUGGACACUCACAUGGGGACCCCCACCAUCAACAUGGGGACCCCCAUAGGGACCCCCACCACAGCCAUGGGGACCCCCACCAUGGCCAUUCACAUGGGGACCCCCAUAGGGACCCCCACUAUGGCCAUGGGGACCCCCAUACGGACCCCUACUAUGGCCAUGGGGACCCCCAUCAUGGCCAUCAACAUGGGGACCCCCAUAGGGACCCCCACCAUCAACAUGGGGACCCCCAUAGGGACCCCCAUCAUCAACAUGGGGACCCCCAUAGGGACCCCCACCACGGCCAUGGGGACCCCCAUCAUGGCCAUCAACAUGGGGACCCCCAUCAUGGCCAUCAACAUGGGGACCCCCACCAUGGCCACAGCCACCACCAUGGGGACCCCCAAGUUCCCCCCCCAUCAGCUCCCAGUCGCCCGGACACUCUGACCCUCUGGAUUCAGGUGAGC